CCUACGGGAGGCAGCAGUGGGGAAUUUUGCGCAAUGCUCGUAAGAGUGACGCAGCGACGCCGCGUGAAUGACGAAGGCCUUCGGGUCGUAAAGUUCUUUCGACAGGGAAGAAAAUGCCUAUAAGUAACUGUGUAUGUAUUGACGGUACCUGUAUAAGCAGCCCCGGCGAACUCCGUGCCAGCAGCCGCGGUAAUACGGAGGGGGCGAGCGUUGUUCGGAGUGACUGGGCGUAAGGAGCACGUAGGCGGUGUUGUAAGUCAUUAGUCAAAGACUAGAGCUCAACUUUAGUAAGGCUAGUGAUACUAUAAUACGAGAGUGUCAGAGAGGAUUGCAGAAUUCCUGGUGUAGCGGUGAAAUGCGUAGAUAUCAGGAGGAAUACCGUUAGCGAAGGCGGCAAUCUGGCUGGAAACUGACGCUGAGGUGCGAAAGCGUGGGUAGCAAACAGGAUUAGAUACCCGUGUAGUC
Molecule: ribosomal RNA, 465 nt
Filed under: uncultured bacterium
Lineage: Bacteria
Description: partial 16S ribosomal RNA
Rfam family: Bacterial small subunit ribosomal RNA
Source: RNAcentral